AGAGUUUGAUCAUGGCUCAGGAUGAACGCUGGCGGUAUGCUUAACACAUGCAAGUCGAACGCAUCUUUCGGGGUGAGUGGCGGACGGGUGAGUAACGCGUGAGAAUCUGCCUAGAGGUCGGGGACAACCAUUGGAAACGAUGGCUAAUACCGGAUAUGCCUUACGGGGUGAAAGAUUAAUCGCCUUUAGAAGAGCUCGCGUCUGAUUAGCUAGUUGGUAGGGUAAAAGCCUACCAAGGCAUCGAUCAGUAGCUGGUCUGAGAGGAUGACCAGCCACACUGGGACUGAGACACGGCCCAGACUCCUACGGGAGGCAGCAGUGGGGAAUUUUCCGCAAUGGGCGAAAGCCUGACGGAGCAAGACCGCGUGAGGGAGGAAGGCUCUUGGGUCGUAAACCUCUUUUGUCAGGGAAGAACAAAAUGACGGUACCUGACGAAUCGGCAUCGGCUAACUCCGUGCCAGCAGCCGCGGUAAUACGGAGGAUGCAAGCGUUAUCCGGAAUUAUUGGGCGUAAAGCGUCCGCAGGUGGCUGAUCAAGUCUGCGGUCAAAGACCGGGGCUUAACCCUGGAAAGGCCGUGGAAACUGAUCAAGCUAGAGUACCGUAGGGGUAGAGGGAAUUCCCGGUGUAGCGGUGAAAUGCGUAGAGAUCGGGAAGAACAUCGGUGGCGAAAGCGCUCUACUGGACGGUGACUGACACUCAGGGACGAAAGCUAGGGGAGCGAAUGGGAUUAGAUACCCCAGUAGUCC
RNAcentral lists this ribosomal RNA (747 nucleotides) under uncultured cyanobacterium. RNAcentral's name for it is "bacterial SSU rRNA". It matches the Rfam family "Bacterial small subunit ribosomal RNA", at positions 8 to 796 of the family's 1533-position model. Lineage: Bacteria; Bacillati; Cyanobacteriota. The record is from RNAcentral.